Molecule: ribosomal RNA, 139 nt
Filed under: Salmonella enterica subsp. enterica serovar Berta str. ATCC 8392
Lineage: Bacteria; Pseudomonadati; Pseudomonadota; Gammaproteobacteria; Enterobacterales; Enterobacteriaceae
Description: partial 23S ribosomal RNA
Rfam family: Bacterial large subunit ribosomal RNA
Source: RNAcentral
GGUUAAGUGACUAAGCGUACACGGUGGAUGCCCUGGCAGUCAGAGGCGAUGAAGGGCGUGCUAAUCUGCGAUAAGCGCCGGUAAGGUGAUAUGAACCGUUAUAACCGGCGAUACCCGAAUGGGGAAACCCAGUGUGACU